This 228-nucleotide unclassified non-coding RNA is filed under the name rhizosphere metagenome. RNAcentral's name for it is "partial ribosomal RNA internal transcribed spacer region". The record is from RNAcentral.
GUAGGUGAACCUGCGGAAGGAUCAUUAAAAAGUUGGCUGGGGUUCUGCCCCGCACGCCUCCAUCCUUUGAGUACUUACCCAGUUGCUUUGGCGGGCCGGGACGCUUGCGCCCCGGGCGGCUUCGGCUGCCCAGCGCCCGUCAGAGGUCAAUCAAACCCUUGCUUAACGGUGAAGUCUGAUAACUAUUAUAAAUAGCUAAAACUUUCAACGACGGACCUCUUGGUUCUC